GAUGAACGCUAGCGGCAGGCCUAAUACAUGCAAGUCGGACGGGAUCCAUUGAUAGCUUGCUCUCAAUGGUGAGAGUGGCGCACGGGUGCGUAACGCGUGAGCAACCUGCCUCCAUCAGGGGGAUAGCCUCUCGAAAGAGAGAUUAACACCGCAUAAUAUCAACAGUUCGCAUGUUCAGUUGAUUAAAUAUUUAUAGGAUGGAGAUGGGCUCGCGUGACAUUAGCUAGUUGGUAGGGUAACGGCUUACCAAGGCGACGAUGUCUAGGGGCUCUGAGAGGAGAAUCCCCCACACUGGUACUGAGACACGGACCAGACUCCUACGGGAGGCAGCAGUAAGGAAUAUUGGUCAAUGGGCGGAAGCCUGAACCAGCCAUGCCGCGUGCAGGAUGACUGCCCUAUGGGUUGUAAACUGCUUUUGUCCAGGAAUAAACCUAAAUACGAGUAUUUAGCUGAAUGUACUGGAAGAAUAAGGAUCGGCUAACUCCGUG
This 488-nucleotide ribosomal RNA is filed under the name uncultured bacterium. RNAcentral's name for it is "partial 16S ribosomal RNA". It matches the Rfam family "Bacterial small subunit ribosomal RNA", at positions 28 to 507 of the family's 1533-position model. The record is from RNAcentral.